Molecule: ribosomal RNA, 273 nt
Filed under: uncultured bacterium
Lineage: Bacteria
Description: partial 16S ribosomal RNA
Rfam family: Bacterial small subunit ribosomal RNA
Source: RNAcentral
AUACGGGGGUGCAAGCGUUACUCGGAAUCACUGGGCGUAAAGCGCGCGCAGGCGGCUUGAUAAGUUGGAUGUGAAAGCCUACGGCUCAACCGUAGAACUGCAUCCAAAACUGUCAAGCUAGAGUCUGGGAGGGGAAGAUGGAAUUAGUUGUGUAGGGGUAAAAUCCGUAGAGAUAACUAGGAAUACCAAAAGCGAAGGCGAUCUUCUGGAACAGUACUGACGCUGAGGCGCGAAAGCGUGGGGAGCAAACAGGAUUAGAAACCCGGGUAGUCC